UACGGGGGGGGCAAGCGUUGUUCGGAAUUACUGGGCGUAAAGGGCUCGUAGGCGGCCAACUAAGUCAGACGUGAAAUCCCUCGGCUUAACCGGGGAACUGCGUCUGAUACUGGUUGGCUUGAGUGUGGGAGAGGGAUGCGGAAUUCCAGGUGUAGCGGUGAAAUGCGUAGAUAUCGGGAGGAACACCUGUGGCGAAAGCGGCUCACUGGACCACAACUGACGCUGAUGCACGAAAGCUAGGGGAGCAAACAGG
Molecule: ribosomal RNA, 253 nt
Filed under: uncultured bacterium
Lineage: Bacteria
Description: partial 16S ribosomal RNA
Rfam family: Bacterial small subunit ribosomal RNA
Source: RNAcentral